UACGUAGGGUGCAAGCGUUGUCCGGAAUUAUUGGGCGUAAAGAGCUCGUAGGCGGUCUGUCGCGUCGGAUGUGAAAAUCCAGGGCUCAACCCUGGACCUGCAUUCGAUACGGGCAGACUAGAGUUCGGUAGGGGAGACUGGAAUUCCUGGUGUAGCGGUGAAAUGCGCAGAUAUCAGGAGGAACACCAAUGGCGAAGGCAGCUCGCUGGGACGGUACUGACGCUGAGACGCGAAAGCGUGGGGAGCAAACAGG
This 253-nucleotide ribosomal RNA is filed under the name uncultured bacterium. RNAcentral's name for it is "partial 16S ribosomal RNA". It matches the Rfam family "Bacterial small subunit ribosomal RNA", at positions 524 to 776 of the family's 1533-position model. The record is from RNAcentral.